GGCCGGGUGGCGCAAUGGUAGCGCGUUGGUUUUCGGUUCUUCUGUAUGAAGUGCAGCCUACCAAAGGUUUGCGGGUUCGAGUCCCGUCUCGGUCG
This 95-nucleotide transfer RNA is filed under the name Paecilomyces variotii No. 5. RNAcentral's name for it is "Byssochlamys spectabilis No. 5 tRNA". It matches the Rfam family "tRNA". From Rfam's summary of the family: Transfer RNA (tRNA) molecules are approximately 80 nucleotides in length. Their secondary structure includes four short double-helical elements and three loops (D, anti-codon, and T loops). Lineage: Eukaryota; Fungi; Ascomycota; Eurotiomycetes; Eurotiales; Thermoascaceae. The record is from Rfam by way of RNAcentral.